GUUUUUAUAAUUUAAAUAAAAUAUUGGUUUUGUAAACCAAAAAUAGAUUGAUUCUUAAAAAUA
Molecule: transfer RNA, 63 nt
Filed under: Suinzona borowieci
Lineage: Eukaryota; Metazoa; Arthropoda; Insecta; Coleoptera; Chrysomelidae
Description: tRNA-Thr
Source: RNAcentral